GCCACAUGAUGUUACAGAGAUGACAUUAGCACAAUGUGCAAAGAUGACUUCUAUCUAUCACCCUUGACUGAUGGCU
Molecule: small nucleolar RNA, 76 nt
Organism: Stegostoma tigrinum
Lineage: Eukaryota; Metazoa; Chordata; Chondrichthyes; Orectolobiformes; Stegostomatidae
Product: small nucleolar RNA SNORD83
Exons: 1
Source: RefSeq, a predicted model, not a curated record